RNAcentral lists this ribosomal RNA (569 nucleotides) under Sordariomycetes sp. C61. RNAcentral's name for it is "eukaryotic LSU rRNA". It matches the Rfam family "Eukaryotic large subunit ribosomal RNA", at positions 38 to 629 of the family's 3401-position model. The record is from RNAcentral. Lineage: Eukaryota; Fungi; Ascomycota; Sordariomycetes.
GCAUAUCAAUAAGCGGAGGUAAAGAAACCAACAGGGAUUGCCCUAGUAACGGCGAGUGAAGCGGCAACAGCUCAAAUUUGAAAUCUGGCCUUCGGGUCCGAGUUGUAAUUUGCAGAGGAUGCUUUUGGCGCGGUGCCUUCCGAGUUCCCUGGAACGGGACGCCUUAGAGGGUGAGAGCCCCGUACGGUUGGACACCAAGCCUCUGUAAAGCUCCUUCGACGAGUCGAGUAGUUUGGGAAUGCUGCUCUAAAUGGGAGGUAAAUUUCUUCUAAAGCUAAAUACCGGCCAGAGACCGAUAGCGCACAAGUAGAGUGAUCGAAAGAUGAAAAGCACUUUGAAAAGAGGGUUAAAUAGCACGUGAAAUUGUUGAAAGGGAAGCGUUUACGGCCAGACCUUUUCCUGGCGGAUCAUCUGGUGUACUCACCAGUGCACUUCGCCAGGUUUAGGCCAGCAUCGGCUUCCGUUAGGGGGAUAAAAGCAGUGGGAAAGUAGCUCCCUCGGGAGUGUUAUAGCCCCUAAGCAUAAUACCCUUACGGGCCCCGAGGACCGCGCUCUUGCAAGGAUGCUGG